GACGAACGCUGGCGGCGUGCCUAAUACAUGCAAGUUGAGCGCUGAAGGUUGGUACUUGUACCAACUGGAUGAGCAGCGAACGGGUGAGUAACGCGUGGGGAAUCUGCCUUUGAGCGGGGGACAACAUUUGGAAACGAAUGCUAAUACCGCAUAAAAACUUUAAACACAAGUUUUAAGUUUGAAAGAUGCAAUUGCAUCACUCAAAGAUGAUCCCGCGUUGUAUUAGCUAGUUGGUGAGGUAAAGGCUCACCAAGGCGAUGAUACAUAGCCGACCUGAGAGGUGGUUCGCCAACAUGGGGCCGGGAAACCGCCCAAACCCCUUCGGGGGGGAGCCAGAAGGAAACCUUCGGCAAGGGAGGAAGGUCGAACCAAGCAACGCGGCGGAAGGAAAGAGGGUUUUCGGUUCGUAAAACUCGGUUGGUAAGGAGGAACGUUGGGGGGGUUGGAAGGCCCACCAAUUAACGUAACCUACCAAGAAGGGACGGCUAACUACGUG
Molecule: ribosomal RNA, 496 nt
Filed under: uncultured bacterium
Lineage: Bacteria
Description: partial 16S ribosomal RNA
Rfam family: Bacterial small subunit ribosomal RNA
Source: RNAcentral